GGUGAGGAAUGAUGCUCCCUACUUUACUGUGCGUGAUUGCUAAAGAGAUGGACCAAUUCUGGGCUAAGGAGGGGCCAUGGGUAUUGUCCCUCCCCGACGACAGGAUUGAUCGAAUUCCGGACCAAUCCCAAGCCAGGACUCAAAAGCUGUUCAACAAAUAACCAGAUAACCAAAGACAAUGAAUCAUAUGGGAUUUUACAAGUCUGGGCUAUGAUUUUCAUCACGGUCAAAGUGCAAGCAAUUCUGCUUCCAGCAAAAAAAAAAAAAAAACGAUACUGUAUCUACAUUAACAGACCACCAUUGGCAAAUACAGAUUCUACUGUUUCCUGAUUUGAUGCAGUGGAUGUAUUCACAGCAUCGGCAAUAAGGUGUGUCAACAUGGAAUCUAGAAAUCCCAAACUUGUGGCCUAGUGGGAUCUGGUGAAGCCCAGAUUUACGGAGGAGCUUGUAGGUUGAAGACCCCAAAGUUUGUACUUCUUCCCUGUUCCCAUGGGAAUCCUCCCUGAGGGAAUCCGAGGUGAGCAGUUUCAGACUGACGAGGGACCCUCGGGAGAAUGACAAUCGUAGUUAGAUAGUCUCCCCAAUUUUAUCAAGAGACCCUUUCCCAAGAAGAUCCACACCUGGCGAGGACUAUUCUUCAGUAUCCACUAUAAGCACCCCACUCUCUUAGACCCUAGCCUUUUGCUAGCAUUCCUUUCUUAUGCUUGAUUGUAUUCGGUCAGGGAAUUCCUUUUAGCUAUAGCAAUGUCACUCAUCUUUGCAUGCUCCUAGAUUUCCCCCAUGUGGUAGAGAGGAUCCCCAAAUACUUUUCCUCCUUGUAAAGGAGAUCUGAGUUGGAAAUUGCCCAAGCCUUGAGAUAUUCAGUCAAGGGAAAUGCUAAGCCACAGACAGAUAAAUCUUUGGGACCUGUCCAAGGUCCCAACUACUAACAGAUAAACUUCAGGACGAAGGUCCCAGGUGCAAAAAAACUCGGAAACUUUCCAACAAGAGCAUGCAACAGAUAAUGGCCUGGAAUGAGGAAGGGAGGGGGGUUAUUCAUGCUGAAAAGUAUUUAAGACUGAAUCUUCAGGAGGGAACUCAGAACUCUUUUGGCUGAGUUCCCAGUAGUGCGCAUUAGUUCAAUAAACGGCCCUUUCUUUGCCUGAUUGCGUUGUCC
Molecule: long non-coding RNA, 1156 nt
Filed under: Monodelphis domestica (gray short-tailed opossum)
Lineage: Eukaryota; Metazoa; Chordata; Mammalia; Didelphimorphia; Didelphidae
Description: lncRNA (ENSMODG00000043359.1)
Source: RNAcentral